Molecule: long non-coding RNA, 768 nt
Filed under: Bemisia tabaci
Lineage: Eukaryota; Metazoa; Arthropoda; Insecta; Hemiptera; Aleyrodidae
Description: lncRNA ENSSSA3NGG010810
Source: RNAcentral
GACGAAAUCACGAAAGGGACAACUCGCACUUUGUUUGUUUACAUUAGGAGUGAAUUUGACGUCAGUUUGACGUCUAUUUGACGUCGGUGACAUGUUUGGUCUUUGAUGAACUUUGGUGAAACCUGCCGGCCUGCCGGCCGGCGCAAUAAUAAGAUAACCUCAAUCUUGUCUGUCUGAGAUCAAGAGUUCGAGCUUUAUCAUGUACACAAUUAUCUCAACUUUUAAUCUCAAUUAGCUAUGACUUGAUAACUUCGUUGCUGUCCAUGACCUCACCAAUCUGGAGAUAGCUGUUGACUGCGGAUUUAAUGAUUCUGACCAUGGUAAAGGAGGAAGUAAUUGAUUUGAAACCUUCAAUCCUGAAAUUAGAACAUGAACUUAUCCUGGAUGACCAUGAAGAGACAGGCAACGCUGGUGGCAGCAUGGGCUCAAAAAUUCUUAGGCCAACAAAGAAUCAACGUUGCAGACAAGAUUCAAAUAAAAGCACUAACCAAAAAAAGCUCCACAAAGAAGUUGGGUCUAUUCCCUAUCGUUAUUCUGGAAAGGCUCGAUCUUUCAUCGUUAAAGAGUCUUCAAUUAAAGAUCAAAACCUCUGCAUCUAGUGAUAAGAGUGGACCUGAGAAAAGCUUACGGAUAAAAGAAGAACCAGUGGAUAUUGCGGACCUUCAUGCAGAUUUUGUGAUGAACUCUCGUCAAAAAUUUCAAUUGGAACCAGCUCCUACACCAUCUGCGAUGAUCAUUCAAAAUCUUCGCUCGAUGUUGUCGAGAAGA